RNAcentral lists this ribosomal RNA (209 nucleotides) under uncultured soil bacterium. RNAcentral describes it as "partial 16S ribosomal RNA". It matches the Rfam family "Bacterial small subunit ribosomal RNA", at positions 26 to 231 of the family's 1533-position model. The record is from RNAcentral.
AGGAUGAACGCUGGCGGCGUGCUUAACACAUGCAAGUCGAACGAUGAAAGCCGGAGCUUGCUCUGGCUGGAUUAGUGGCGAACGGGUGAGUAACACGUGAGUAACCUGCCCUUGACUCUGGGAUAAGCACUGGAAACGGUGUCUAAUACCGGAUACGAGCUUCAGCCGCAUGGCUAGGAGCUGGAAAGAAUUUCGGACAAGGAUGGACU